RNAcentral lists this non-coding RNA (108 nucleotides) under Clostridium niameyense. RNAcentral describes it as "FMN riboswitch (RFN element)". It matches the Rfam family "FMN riboswitch aptamer (RFN element)", at positions 9 to 130 of the family's 138-position model. From Rfam's summary of the family: The RFN element is a highly conserved domain that is found frequently in the 5'-untranslated regions of prokaryotic mRNAs that encode for flavin mononucleotide (FMN) biosynthesis and transport proteins. This element is a metabolite-dependent riboswitch that directly binds FMN in the absence of proteins. Lineage: Bacteria; Bacillati; Bacillota; Clostridia; Eubacteriales; Clostridiaceae. The record is from RNAcentral.
UCCUUCAGGGCGAGGUGUAAUUCCUCACCGGCGGUAAAGUCCGCGAGCUAUAUUAGCAUGAUUCGGUGCAAUUCCGAAACCGACAGUUAAAGUCUGGAUGAGAGAUAG